ACCUUGAAAUACCACCCUUUAAUGUUUGAUGUUCUAACGUGGACCCGUGAUCCGGGUUGCGGACAGUGUCUGGUGGGUAGUUUGACUGGGGCGGUCUCCUCCUAAAGAGUAACGGAGGAGCACGAAGGUUGGCUAAUCCUGGUCGGACAUCAGGAGGUUAGUGCAAUGGCAUAAGCCAGCUUGACUGCGAGCGUGACGGCGCGAGCAGGUGCGAAAGCAGGUCAUAGUGAUCCGGUGGUUCUGAAUGGAAGGGCCAUCGCUCAACGGAUAAAAGGUACUCCGGGGAUAACAGGCUGAUACCGCCCAAGAGUUCAUAUCGACGGCGGUGUUUGGCACCUCGAUGUCGGCUCAUCACAUCCUGGGGCUGAAGUAGGUCCCAAGGGUAUGGCUGUUCGCCAUUUAAAGUGGUACGCGAGCUGGGUUUAGAACGUCGUGAGACAGUUCGGUCCCUAUCUGCCGUGGGCGCUGGAGAACUGAGGGGGGCUGCUCCUAGUACGAGAGGACCGGAGUGGACGCAUCACUGGUGUUCGGGUUGUCAUGCCAAUGGCACUGCCCGGUAGCUAAAUGCGGAAGAGAUAAGUGCUGAAAGCAUCUAA
RNAcentral lists this ribosomal RNA (596 nucleotides) under Salmonella enterica subsp. salamae serovar Sofia. Its description in RNAcentral is "partial 23S ribosomal RNA". It matches the Rfam family "Bacterial large subunit ribosomal RNA", at positions 2189 to 2784 of the family's 2925-position model. RNAcentral also lists the same sequence under 1 other name. The record is from RNAcentral. Lineage: Bacteria; Pseudomonadati; Pseudomonadota; Gammaproteobacteria; Enterobacterales; Enterobacteriaceae.